UACAUCACUUACAUAGAGCGUGAAAAUGGGCUGAAACCUUCAGGUUUUGAUCUUUCAUGGUAAAACUUGUUCUGUGAUUUCAGAAGUGCCAGAAAACCUCUAUGACACAGGAGAUGUUCCUGAUUUUAACAUUUCUGAAGGGAGCUGCUGACAGAGAAGGAUGAAAACAUACACAUUUUGAUGUCCACGCUGUAGGAGCAUUACUAAAUAAGUAAAACUAAAAUAUAUAUAUUUAUUGUAAAUGAUUAUAUAAAUUAUAUAUUCUGUGAAUUAUUAUUUUUCUUUUCUGCAUUUCACCUCUGCUAUAGUAUAUGCCUUAUACCUGGCAUUUUAUAAUAAAUAUUGUUGUCUCUGUGACAGUGCUUAUGUUCCUGUCAGGAUCCUGCCCUGACAGCCCUGUCCAUCUUGUCUCUGUUCCAUGUUUCUCUGUUUGUUUUGUGUCUAAGCACAUGGUUCUGUCUUUGUUUGUGUCUGCCACGUGCUCCCCUUGUCCCACCUCCUUGUUACCCCUGGUCACGCCCCCUUGUUUAGCCCUUGUCUGCUUGAUUGUUUUUACCUGAUCCUCAUGUGUACUUUCCUAUAUAUUGGGGUUUCUUUCCUUGUGUCUCUGCUGGUUCGUUUUUGGUGUUUAUCCAUCUCUUGGCCUAGAAUUUAUCCCUUUGAGCUUGAUAAUUAUUUUGAUCUCUUAUCUAGUUGUUUAUAUCCUUUUUGGUCUUUAGCUUUGUCUAGUUUAAAAGAAAAGGAAGUCUUUUUGUGUAUUCUAAUCUAGUUUUGUUUCUCAUUCGAUUUAAACUUUCAUUUAUUCUUGCUUAAGUGAUUCCAGUUUUGGAUUGAGUUUUGUUCUUACUCUUGGAUUAUAGCUUUGGAUUUCUUUUGCUUUGUUCUAAUUUUGUCUUCAAUUGUCUGUGUCGUUUUGAGUCUUGUUUUUGUGUAUUGUCCUGUCUUGGCCCCACUCGGAUUUCCUGACCACUGUACCCCACUGCCUGGAAGCAGCUCACCUCUCUCACGUGUCAAGUCUCUGGUCUUGUGAGUCUCUACCUGGCGACUAGUCUGGUGACGUUGCAGUUUCACUUGAAGCUACGAGUUUCCUGUGUCUACCUGGCCCUUCCUCUGGAGCUGCCUACUCUGUGCUUGGGCCUGUGGUCAUCUUGGACUGUCUCAGUGGUCAUCCCUCCUGCCCGUAUUGUUGUCUGCCCAGCCCAUCUGUUUGAACUGUUUCACUGCAAAUUCCCCAGCUGUUCCAGUCUUUGUCUUGUUAAUAAAAUACCCUUGUCUGCUCAUUCUGCAUUUGGGUCCCAUUUCUUGCAGAUCUCUGACAGUUCCUAGGUUUUUCCAUGCUGAUGGCUGUGCUCUAGUCAUAUCUCCUUGUCGAAGAACAUUUUUAGACAUUAUGAACCAUGAAUAAGUUUAGCUCCAACCCCAGUUAAGCAGACCUGAGCAGCUGAUCAAGGAUCACCAGAAACUCUGCAGAACGGUGGUCCUCCAGCCCAGGACUGGACACCAGUGUUAGUGUCUGUCUCAGAAGCUGAAGAAAAAAGGCCACACCUUAUAGGAAAUAAACGCCUCCUAAGUGUACGGAAAUACCUGGCUGAGGAGAUCAGUGACAUAAACCAGAUAAAACUGUCAGUGGUAAGUGUUUACAUAUCCAUAUCCGAAUAGAAUUGCUACAACCUCAUAUCUAAUAUGACUCGAAGUCUGAGACAGCUACAAGCCACAAAAACAGUUCAUAGUUCCUGCAUUUCUAUUAAUGCAUUAAUGAAUAACAAUAAUUAAAAUAAAAUGUAAUGUCAAGGUUUUGUGUUAAUUCCAGCUAUGUUGAGUAUUCUGUGAAUAAUUUUGAUUUUAGGUGCAUAUUCUUAAUUCUUUGCAAAACAACCUGAACUGUUUGCUAUUGAAAGGUUGGUAUGAAGUUUAAAUAAAUAAAAAAAUAUAUUCUUGACAAAACCUGUGUACAGUUUGUAUUAAUAAUUUAAAUUAUUUACUUAUAUUAAUUAAUGGCCUAAUUACCAGCUAUCAGUUAAACAUUCAAAUCAGAACCAAUAUAAAACUGCAACGAAAACUAUUAAAUAUAUGCAAAUAAAGACCAGUACAAACUUGCAAUGGAACCAUCAGAACCAUUACAAAACUGACGGAAACCAUUAAAUUUGUUUUAAUAAAGACCAAUACAAACUUGUAAUGGAACCAUCAGAACCAUUACAAAACUGACGGAAACCAUUAAAUUUGUUUUAAUAAAGACCAAUACAAACUUGCAAUAGAACCAUCAGAACCAAUACAAAACUGUGAUGGAAACCAUUAUGUGCAAAUCGUGACCAAUAAAAACUUGUAUUGGAAACCAAUACAAACCAAUAAAUCCUAAUGGAAUAUGCCCAAAACACACUACGUAAUGGAAACCAUUUGGUAAUGGUUUUAAUGGUUAUUUGCUGAUGGUUUGUAAUGGUUUUGUAAUGGAAACCAUUAGAAUUUCUGUAAUGGUUUCUAUUGUUUUUUUCAGCAGGGCAGUGUUUACUCUCUCGGUCAGCUGGUGCACAAGAUCCGGGUCUGUCAAACUCUGACCCAGCGGCGAGGAGCACAACAUUAGUGCGGCGUGAGGGAGAAACGGCCACUUUUC
Carassius gibelio (silver crucian carp) is the source of this 2608-nucleotide long non-coding RNA. RefSeq lists it as uncharacterized. The record is from RefSeq and is a predicted model, not a curated record. Lineage: Eukaryota; Metazoa; Chordata; Actinopteri; Cypriniformes; Cyprinidae. The transcript has 4 exons.